GACGAACGCUGGCGGCGUGCUUAACACAUGCAAGUCGAACGGAAAGGCCCUGCUUUUGUGGGGUGCUCGAGUGGCGAACGGGUGUGUAACACGUGAGUAACCUGCCCUUGACUUUGGGAUAACUUCAGGAAACUGGGGCUAAUACCGGAUAGGAGCUCCUGCUGCAUGGUGGGGGUUGGAAAGUUUCGGCGGUUGGGGAUGGACUCGCGGCUUAUCAGCUUGUUGGUGGAGUAGUGGCUUACCAAGGCUUUGACGGGUAGCCGGCCUGAGAGGGUGACCGGCCACAUUGGGACUGAGAUACGGCCCAGACGCCUACGGGAGGCAGCAGUGGGGAAUAUUGCACAAUGGGCGGAAGCCUGAUGCAGCAACGCCGCGUGCGGGAUGACGGCCUUCGGGUUGUAAACCGCUUUCGCCGGUGACGAAGCGUGAGUGACGGUAAUGGGUAAAGAAGCACCGGCUAACUACGUG
RNAcentral lists this ribosomal RNA (468 nucleotides) under uncultured bacterium. RNAcentral's name for it is "partial 16S ribosomal RNA". It matches the Rfam family "Bacterial small subunit ribosomal RNA", at positions 28 to 507 of the family's 1533-position model. The record is from RNAcentral.